AUCUCGGCCCAACUCACGCCGCGCCGCCGCCUCGGCAACCCGCGCCCAACCCACACUUCUUCUCGGGCGCUCGCGCUCCCGGUCCCGGCGGCGAUGGCGGCCGCGGCGGUUGGGGGUGGCGAGCAGAGCACGCCGGAGUUCUGGCCCGAGGGGAGUGGCAUUCUGCCGAUGGAUGAACGGCCUCCUCCACCCGCGCUUCGUCUUCCCCGAGGCCGCCGCGAUGGCGGGCUCUCGGGCUGGCUCCGCUCAAGGUCAAGGAGAGAAUACCAAUGCUUUAGGAUUAUGACUUGCUUACUAUUCUCAAGUAAGCAGUAUUAUGAAAUUUACUUGUUUGGUGGAAUUCCCGUUUCGUGGAAAUAUCAGGAGCCAAUGGAGUUGCUAUCCCAGAUGUUCGUCUUACGCCGUAUAUGAUGAUAUCAACAUUGUAUUGCAUAUGACGGCAGUGCAUGAUGAAGAAGAGUCUCUGGUCAAUCUUGUCCACCCCUUUAGUUGUGUAUUUUCCACAGAUGAGAAGGGUAUUUCACAUAGCUCGAGAGCUAAGAAUCCAACGUCCAGGACACUCGCAGUGCAGGGGGGACAUGGAUCAGGAUUAGGCCUUCAUUUUCCUUGGACCUUUGAACAGUCGUCAGUUCAGCUUCUGCUUCCCCGCCAAAAUUCAUGCAUCGAGACAGUUCCUGGUCAAGUCGUCAAAACACUAUGGUCGGGAUCUUGUAGGGUGAUGUGUAUGAAACGUUAAAAUAGUGGUCUGGUCUAAUCGCAUCGCAUUGCCGGUUGGUUGCAAAUCUUAACUAGUAAGGGAAGCGGAAAGAUUCCGUCCUUCUUUAAAAUAAUAAAACCACUUGCUGACUUGCUACUUUGGGAUUACUAUAUACUAAUUUAUCACCUUAAGCUAAUCUUAUUUACUUUUGGGGGCAGCUUAGCUGAUUUCCUAAUAAAAUUGAUCACCUGAUACAGACGGCACGAAGGAUGAGGUCAUCCCUCUCUGCAGUGAACAUUUGACGGUCGUUACGUUGCUAUAGCAAAGAAGAUAAAUUAUUAAUUGGAAGACGGGUCUGUUACUGCACCAUUAAAAAUAUUAACAUGGUAGGCAAGGCGUCUGCUGAAAAUAUAAAAAUCGUGGAAUACAAGUCUCUAACGCAUCUGUCCUUUUAAAAAGAUAUGGUUGGAGAGAGAUUCUAUCAUACAUGUAUACAAGAGUAUUGUAGGUAAAUCAAACACGACACGCAUUCUGGCCACUAGCUAGAGCAGCAAAUCCUUCUUGAUUGCUCACGGGCAUGACAGCUAUAAUUCCUUGUAUUAACAUGAAUUAUUUCAUAUCAAUUGCUGAUUCAUCUACUCAACUACUCAGCUAUCAUUGCUGAGUACUCCAUUAAAAAAAAACUUAAUUUAGAUAGAGAUAUGACCCAUCCUAAUAUAAUGAAUAUGGAUAACAAACAAUGUUUAAAUUUAUUAUAUUAGGAUGUGUUACAUCCUCAUUCAGAUUAACUUUUUUUUAGUAGGUGAGAGUUGUUUGGAAUCAUGAUUAGUGCUCAAACACAUCUUAAUCAGGGCAGGUGGUGAUGAUGAUUUAAGUUAUACUCAUGCUCACUUCGCUCUCUGUAGAAUGUCUUGCUCAAUUGUCUGCUUAGCUGACGUGAGCUAGCGAGAGCGAUCGAGCGGAUAUAUGACGCGAUACAUAUAAUAUGCUAUUUUUUAGAAUUACAUUUCCCCAAUCGGAAUCACUAUGUUCUUUUUUCUCA
Non-coding RNA from Oryza sativa Japonica Group (Japanese rice), 1739 nucleotides. Lineage: Eukaryota; Viridiplantae; Streptophyta; Magnoliopsida; Poales; Poaceae. The record is from RefSeq and is a predicted model, not a curated record.